This is a long non-coding RNA of Hydractinia symbiolongicarpus, 4757 nucleotides long. RefSeq lists it as uncharacterized. The transcript is spliced from 2 exons. Lineage: Eukaryota; Metazoa; Cnidaria; Hydrozoa; Anthoathecata; Hydractiniidae. The record is from RefSeq and is a predicted model, not a curated record.
AAAAGUUUAUAUAUAUUAUUGUCUAUUACAAUGUUUAAGAAACUUGCCUAAAUUCUCUAAUGCACUGUUUAAGGAUACAGUAAUCCUUUAAGAGUCAGGGUAAUUUUUUUUUACAAUAUUUUUUUAAAUUUUUAUUCUUUGGGAUAUUUUCCUUGAAUUUUUAAAGAGAUUCAAAAAUAUUCAUUGGUAAGAGAGGGAAAAUGUGACGAUUCCAGGGAAUUUGAUAACAAGCUAUAAUUAUCGAUAGCUAUUUAGCGAUAAUUAGUUGAAAAAAUAAUAAAAUUAUCGCUAAAAGGAAAUUGAUUAGCCAUAAAGCUAUAUAGCGAUAAUCAAUGCUAAGCUAUACUUAUUGCUAACUUAUUUUUUUUCUCUGCCGAUAUUGAUAAUAACGCAAUAUGGAUGACGCAUGCAUUUUAUUGCUAAUUAUGCAGAAAGCAAGUAGGACACCAUUCUUUCAAUGUUGCAAAAACGGUUUGCUUGAUGUUUUCAUAAAUAGUAUUAAUACUCUUUUUAGAAUUAUGAAUAUAUUUUGCUUGAUCGCUGGAAAAAAUAAAACAUUAAUUUAGUUAGUCUCGUUCUGCAAAAUACCCCAUGCUGUAAACAUGCAGCACUGUCCAGAGCCCUUUAUUUUAGAUUAUUCUUUUGCACGCAGUGGCUGCGCUGAAACAAAACUUCAAUAAAUUAGCUUACUACUUUAUAACAAAUCUUGGAACGCUGGUGAAGAAAAUGUAUAGGAUCAUGUACUUUUGACAAACGGUUGAAGAGAUGUUGAGGUUAAAAGGUUUUUUGAUGACGUCAUCAACCCAUCCAUUCCGAAACGGAUUUGGGGACCCAGGUUUGGGAAACUUACCCAAAUUGCUCCCAGGUGGUCCCUAGUUACCCACGCGGUGAAAAAAGACUGACAUCACCACCUCGUUUCCAAGUUAUUUAGCCUCAGAGUUUUAAGUGCAUUGUAAUGACUUUACUGAUCUUAAUAUACUUUCCUUUGACGUCAAUAUAUUUUAACAUCAAAGUUUGGUAAUUUACAGAACAAAUUUAUAGGUGAUGUUUUAUAGACUUUAUCAAAGAAAAUUGUGAAGAAUAUAAUCUACUUUGUAAAAGUCACACACAGACACACAGAAGCUUUGUAUUAUUAUAAGAGAUACUAAUGUAUUUUAACCAAAAAAAUAAAUUUAGCUGCUUCUUUUUGGUCACACAGGAUAGUGAAGUUACCUAUAAAUUAGGGUCUGUCCAUACGUCAAAGCUUCAUCACGAUUUUCUACUUUUUUGCACAAAGUUAUUUAUAAAUAAAUCUAGAAAGUAACAUUUUUGGAUUAUGGAAAAAAUCAUAAUUGCACCAUUUUGGGCAAAAAAGGGUUUCUUGAGUACAGAUCUACAAAUUUUAUUUGGUCUCGUAUGCAGGAAAAUUUGAUCAUUAUUAUUGUUCAUUAGAUUUUUUUCACCAAGUUACUUCUCAAUAAGGGGAAAGUGACAUUCUUGGAUUUUUUAGAAAAAAUCAUAACAAUGCUAUUUUAAGCUAACAACCCAAUAUUUGGCACCUGUAAAUCCAGCUACUUCGAGAGUAAACUAGUGUUACUGAUGAUUAUUAUUACUUUUUUCUAUGAAUGGUUUUAAACAUUAUUGCAGAUCAUUAUCUACAAAUUUUAUUUGGUCACACAUGUGGUCUCUGGUUUCAAAAUUAGCUAAAAAUAUGGUUUUUCACAUUUUCUUAAAAUUGAUAAAAUAUAAUCAAUCUUACCUGAGAACAAAAGAUUAUUUACAAAUUUCAGUUAAUUAAUGUUUGAAAAAAAAUAUGCUACCACCCAAAAGGUUUUUAUGUUUGUCUAAAAAUUUCAUUGUUUAUUGUCAUAUUUGAUAAUCGAGUGUGGAAGUUAGGAUGUAAACUUGUUUUACUGUACAGAAAUAUUUUUGAUAUGGUUUACAUUUUUAGUAAGUAGCACAAUUUAAAUUUUAGAAAAUUUGUCUUUAUUUACGUAUAUAUAUAUAUAUAUUUUUUUUAAUUUUGAGUGUUGUUAAUUAUAAAUUAUAAUAUAUCACGAGGAGAGUAUUUGCAUCCCUAAUUUUUGCUUUUUACUUUACAUAAUAUUAUGAAAUGGAAAUGUUUUUGUAUUCAUUUUAGUUUUACCAUGUGUUACCAAAUUAUUUCCUUAUGAGGAUGGAAUAAUUUUUAAUUUUAUAAAGGAAGAAAGUGUUUGCAGGAGAAACUAUGCAGUCAGGAGAAAGUAUGCAGCCGUCAGGAAAGAUAGAAUAAUUUAAAAAAAAUCUUUCUGAGGAAACAGCAAGAUGAAAGAAUAAUUUUCUGAGGAAACAAUGCAAAAACAUUUCUGAAAGAAAGACAUAGACAAUGCGAAUUUAAAGGAUAAUUUUCGGAGUAAAGGUGCACAAUUAAAACAUAAUUGUCUGAGAAAACAAUGCAAAAUUAAAGAAAACUUUUCAGGAGAAAAACAGCGAAAUUAAAAAAUAAUUUUAUGAUAAUUUUUAUAGGUAACAUUCAUCUUCAAUAAGGAUGAAAGCAUUUCUUUUAUUUUUACUAAUAGAGCCCUGAAAAAUUAUAAUAUAAUUUUAUUAAUGUUCUUAGCACAUGUUCAGUUAAAAGGACGUAAAGUGUCAGUAUUGUAUUCUUUAUAAACAUGUUUCUUAAAUUAGAAAAACAACUAUGUUGCCAUGGGCUUCAUAGCUAACAUCCUCUUUCCAUGUUCAUCUUGAUUUUCUCUUCCAUCCGUGAAGCUUAGAAGAAAAAUACCCUGGAUAAAAAACAACCUAAAAUAUAAAACCCACUAAAAUGUCCAUUUAAAAUGCUUCUCAUGUAAGUUGAGAACAAAACGACUUGUAUAAACCUCUAUUCUCCCCCCAAAGACAACGAAAUCAAUAAAAAAAAUACAAAGACCCUCUUUCCCCCCUCAAAUUUGGACGUCGUUUAAGGAUGACUCUAUACAUUAUGAAAGAAAAAUAGCCAGUGCCCCCUUUCCCAGCCUUGUUACAAAGUUUGUCUGGGAUAGAAAGUGACACAUUUUAUUUAUUUGUAACACGAAGUACAUGAAACACGCGCCCUAUUAAAUUCCUUGGUUUACUAAUUUUGUUACAAACAUUUAUCAAUAAUCCUCUUACUGUUAGCGAUAUAGCGAUAAAGCACAUCGAUAAGUAAAAAUUAUCGUUAUAUGAGAUCUUUUUUAUCUUUCCCUUUUUUGAUAUAUUUAAUUUUUAAUAAAAUUUAUUAUUUUUAAUAAAAGUUGUUAAUUCUUCCACCAUGCUUUUUGCAGGUAAAUUUUGUUAUGAUAAUUAUAUGUGACUGUCUAGGAGAAUUUGAUUUUCAUAUACCCAUGUAGAUGUCUCACCUUGAAUGUUUAUAUUUUCUUCUUCACCAGUAUCUUUCAUUGCUAGUUACUAAAAUAACAAUUAUAAUGUCAAGAUAUUAACAUUUGAUAACCAUCAAAUUAGCAUUUAAUUUUAACGUUACGGCAAACAAAAGUUAAGUAACACUAAAUAAAGUUAACUGUAGCAUUAGAGCAUUAAAAUGAGAUAACACUAUAGUGUUAAUUAUAAUUUCAAAAUUGCGCCAAUAUACGCUAACUAGCCGGGACUCGGCAUCGAAACACAGGGUUAAGCCAAAAGUAACUAUGUUCACUGACUUUACAUAAAAAAUCAAAUGCUAACACAAAGUCUUUGAUAGAGUAACUUCUUAGAAUUGCACCUUUUUGUAGAGACAAAAGCGUUAAAACAUGGAAAAGUAAGGGAUUUGAAAGUUAAACAAAAAUACACGGCUGUAAUAAAAAAUAAACAUAAAAAAUUCAAAUCAUCUGAGACAGGUUUGGUCUUUCUUAAGUUUUAUUAGUUUAGUGGUGAAAUUCUUACAGCAUCAAAUUUGCCUGAAAUUAGUUGAGGACGCACCACAUUAGAUUAAACAAUGUUAAAUUGACAUAUUUCUGUUGCAUCCAAGGUCAAAUGGCUGUCACAAACACAUUAUAUUGCGUUUUUUUGUAUAUACAAAAUUUGGUUAUCACUUAGAAAGUUCUUUUUGGCUAAAAUACAAAAUUACAGUUGUUCUAAAAUGCAGAAACCCAUAAAACAUAUGGAUGAAGAUCUUGACUCCUUACUUAACAACAUCGAAUAAAUUCACUUUAAGAUAGACCACUUACCUAAAGUUGAUCCAAUGUAAUGUAAUGUAACCAAAAAAACGAAAAAUGACAGAAUAUCUUUUUGGUGUUUGCAAUGAAGUACUGUCAAAUAAUCCAAAAAUGUAUAAAGAUUUUAGUAUACAAUGCAAUAAAUGUGACAUCUGGUUUCACUUUCAAUGUGCAAAUAUAUUGAAAUCUGCUAACUAAGACUAAAAAGAAGACUUGUACUGUCUCAAAUGUUUGAAGUAACUUUAAUAAUAGCUGUAUUCUGUUCAAAAGAGUUGUGCCGCAGAUUUAUUUUGGAAACUCUCGUGUGAAGUGGUGUAAGGUUUGUAGGUCUUCUUUUGACCUUUUUCUCUUUUAAAUACUUUGUUUAUAUAGGAAUAUUUAUUUUCUGUAUGUUUAUGUUUAAAUCAUCACGUUUUCUAGCCAUGUAAGAUUUUGGCUCUAAACGUAGAUUUCCAGGUAGCAACCUCUAUUCUCAAUCUCUUGGUAUAUUAAUGUUUAUUUUUAUGUUGGGGUUGUUGCUCUCUAUCUAGCUUUUAAUACCUCUGGUUAAAAAGUGAAAGUAGUAAUUUUUAAAUCAAGGAAACACAGUGUCUUUGUUUCCACAUACUUCCAUAGUAAACUUUAAACCUGAAC